RNAcentral lists this ribosomal RNA (497 nucleotides) under uncultured bacterium. RNAcentral's name for it is "partial 16S ribosomal RNA". It matches the Rfam family "Bacterial small subunit ribosomal RNA", at positions 28 to 507 of the family's 1533-position model. The record is from RNAcentral.
GAUGAACGCUGGCGGCGUGCCUAAUACAUGCAAGUCGAGCGAACGGACGAGAAGCUGGCUUCUCUGAUGUUAGCGGCGGACGGGUGAGUAAUACGUGGAUAACCUACCUAUAAGGCUGGGAUAACUUCGGGAAACCGGAGCUAAUACCGGAUAAUAUUUUGAACCGCAUGGUUCAAAAGUGAAAGACGGUCUUGCUGUCACUUAUAGAUGGAUCCGCGCUGCAUUAGCUAGUUGGUAAGGUAACGGCUUACCAAGGCAACGAUGCAUAGCCGACCUGAGAGGGUGAUCGGCCACACUGGAACUGAGACACGGUCCAGACUCCUACGGGAGGCAGCAGUAGGGAAUUUUGGACAAUGGGCGAAAGCCUGAUGGAGCAACGCCGCGUGAGUGAUGAAGGUCUUCGGAUCGUAAAGCACUGUUAGUAGGGACGAACAUAUGUGUACGUAACUGAGGACACCUUGACGGUACCUACUGAGAAAGCCCCGGCUAACUACGUG